This is a long non-coding RNA of Lemur catta (Ring-tailed lemur), 585 nucleotides long. RefSeq lists it as uncharacterized. The transcript has 3 exons. Lineage: Eukaryota; Metazoa; Chordata; Mammalia; Primates; Lemuridae. The record is from RefSeq and is a predicted model, not a curated record.
CCUCUGAUUUCCUUCUCUGCUUCUCCAGGUCCCUCUGCAACGAGACUCAGAGAUCCACAAUACCUGUUCUCACCUGCAGGGUUGUGUUGCUAAGUGUCUCUGCCCCCAGAGUCAUCUCGAGCCAGUUCUGCAAGGCACGGCCCCUCUCGCCACGCCCCUGCACCUUCUCGCCUGUCAUCCCUGCCAGGGCAGCUCCCAGGCACGAGGCCAGCUGCACCCUGCAUCCUUUGAGGCCUUGAGGGGACUGCAUUCAACAUGCACAGGGACAAGAAACUUGCAAGUUCAUGCACCAAGAUGCUGGUAGAGGUGUUCUCCAGGAGAGAUGAGAACCCAAGCUUCCUGGCCAGCUUGGUAGAGAAGUACCAGGCCUGGAGUGAGCUCUCUGCAUGGGGCUGCAGGAUCUAGAUACCCGGCACUCGGCCAGCUGUGCGUGGACACUCUCUCCCACCUGCAGCCUCCUAACCACACCAUGGAAAAGCCUCGAGCUGGAGAGAUCGUGGGUGUGGGCGCACCUCCACCUGUACCUACUGGCACAUGGCUGAAGCUGCGUGCUGAGAAUACCAGGAACAUGCAAAGAGGAGACAG